Molecule: ribosomal RNA, 497 nt
Filed under: uncultured bacterium
Lineage: Bacteria
Description: partial 16S ribosomal RNA
Rfam family: Bacterial small subunit ribosomal RNA
Source: RNAcentral
GAUGAACGCUGGCGGCGUGCCUAAUACAUGCAAGUCGAGCGAACAGACGAGGAGCUUGCUCCUCUGACGUUAGCGGCGGACGGGUGAGUAACACGUGGAUAACCUACCUAUAAGACUGGGAUAACUUCGGGAAACCGGAGCUAAUACCGGAUAAUAUAUUGAACCGCAUGGUUCAAUAGUGAAAGACGGUUUUGCUGUCACUUAUAGAUGGAUCCGCGCCGCAUUAGCUAGUUGGUAAGGUAACGGCUUACUAAGGCAACGAUGCGUAGCCGACCUGAGAGGGUGAUCGGCCACACUGGAACUGAGACACGGUCCAGACUCCUACGGGAGGCAGCAGUAGGGAAUCUUCUGCAAUGGGCGAAAGCCUGACGGAGCAACGCCGCGUGAGUGAUGAAGGUCUUCGGAUCGUAAAACUCUGUUAUUAGGGAAGAACAAAUGUGUAAGUAACUAUGCACGUCUUGACGGUACCUAAUCAGAAAGCCACGGCUAACUACGUG